UACGUAGGGGGCGAGCGUUGUCCGGAUUUACUGGGCGUAAAGCGCGCGUAGGCGGAGCGUUAAGUCCGGUCUGAAAGCCCCCGGCUCAACCGGGGAAGGUGGCUGGAAACUGGCGUUCUGGAGGGCGAUAGAGGAGCGUGGAAUUCCUGGUGUAGCGGUGAAAUGCGUAGAUAUCAGGAGGAACACCCGUGGCGAAGGCGGUGCUCUGGGCCGGAACUGACGCUGAGGAGCGAAAGCGUGGGGAGCGAACAGG
Molecule: ribosomal RNA, 253 nt
Filed under: uncultured bacterium
Lineage: Bacteria
Description: partial 16S ribosomal RNA
Rfam family: Bacterial small subunit ribosomal RNA
Source: RNAcentral